ACGCGGUUUGCCAGAACUGGGCAUAGACCUGCUGGAUAUCCUGCAACGAGCGGCAAUCGUGGAUCGAGCGGAAUAACUGGGCAUCCUCGCGGAGCCUCAUCCCGACAAACUCGGACCAUUCCUUGCCGACCGACUGCAUGUUGGUGCUGACCUGCGCGUUGAACUUCGCGAUUUCGUUCAGCAUGGUUCCGUUCAUCUCGCU
RNAcentral lists this unclassified non-coding RNA (202 nucleotides) under Hevea brasiliensis (rubber tree). Lineage: Eukaryota; Viridiplantae; Streptophyta; Magnoliopsida; Malpighiales; Euphorbiaceae. The record is from RNAcentral.